UGGAAGACAAGUUGAAGAUGGAAGAAAUCAAAGAGCAGAAGAUCUUGCAGCAGUUCUUCAAGAUUUCACUAACUAUAACCACAACAAUUUACCAGGUGAACAGAGGCAACACGACUUGGAGAGCAAAGAUGAUUCCAGCUCCCAGAGGUUGCAACAAUAAUAAUUACUAUGCCUCAAUACCAAAUUAGUUAGGGCAUGCCUUAUAUACAUAAAAUAAAAAAAUAAAAAAAAUAAAAACGUAGUUAGGGCAUGCCGUAUGGUUCAUCCUUAUCCAUGAUGCCUUAAUAGAUUAUCUAAUGUACUAGGAGUUCAGAAUCUAUGCAGACUCUAAGAGGUUGUAGUUCUUUUUGAAAUAAUAUCCUUCCAUGUGAUUUAGGUCUA
Long non-coding RNA from Lycium ferocissimum, 381 nucleotides. RefSeq lists it as uncharacterized. The record is from RefSeq and is a predicted model, not a curated record. The transcript is spliced from 2 exons. Lineage: Eukaryota; Viridiplantae; Streptophyta; Magnoliopsida; Solanales; Solanaceae.